RNAcentral lists this ribosomal RNA (254 nucleotides) under uncultured bacterium. RNAcentral describes it as "partial 16S ribosomal RNA". It matches the Rfam family "Bacterial small subunit ribosomal RNA", at positions 524 to 776 of the family's 1533-position model. The record is from RNAcentral.
UACGUAGGGAGCAAGCGUUGUCCGGAUUCAUUGGGCGUAAAGAGCUCGUAGGCGGCUUAGUAAGUCAGAUGUGAAAACUCCAGGCUCAACCUGGAGACGCCAUUUGAUACUGCUAUGGCUUGAGUUCGGUAGGGGACCAUGGAAUUCCUGGUGUAGCGGUGGAAUGCGUAGAGAUCGGGAAGAACAUCAGUGGCGAAGGCGGUCUGCUGGGCCGUUGCUGACGCUGAGGCGCGACAGCGUGGGGAGCAAACAGG